CUGGUAAUUUAUUCGCUUAAACCUUAAAAAACAUAUGUUGAUCACAAAAAAAAAAAACCUUAAAAACAUACAUAAAUAUUCUAGUUGAUAUUAAUUGAUAAUAUAUCAUUUAAUUCCAAAUUAUUAACAACAGUUUAACGAAAAAGUCAAACGUUUGGUUUUAUAUCACGAUCUUGAUUUGAUUUAGGUCAUGAUUCACGCCGUCACCGUCGUUGUCGCAUAGAUCGGAGACCAAAACGGAGAUGGAGAGGAAGGCAGGAGUGACGAGGAAGAUGAGUCCCACAGGAACCAUCCAAAGAUUAGAAUUUGUGGGAUGGUAUUUGUAAACCCAAUAUGUUAGAAAUAAUCCUGCGAAUAUAACCACGAUCACUGAGUAUAAUAAGAACACCAUUGACGACAUACUCUUCUUCUUCUCCUUCCAAGUCUUCUCAUCUGUCUUCUUCAUAUUCGUGUUUCAUUUUCUAGGUGAAGUGAAAGGAAAGAGGUGAGAUGACGAUAGCUGUAAUAUUUUAUAGAGUGUAUAAGUAUAUAUAUACAGUCGUGUUUCAGUUCGUGUAUGCUGGUUUAGAAAAUUAUAAUUUCAAAAUCGGACCCGAUGAUCAUAUGGUUUGCGUCAAUUUUUCUUUGGCUCUAUUUUUUAUUUCUUCUUUUCUUUGUUUUAGUAAAUGUUACCUAAAACUCGAUUGGAUAUUUACACCUAUUUUUGAGGCAGGUACAACCAGGGGCGGACCGAUCAGGUAAUAGAGAGGUGUGGCACCGGUGGAUCUUUCAUAUUUUACAAAGUUUAUCUUCGCAAUUGGCUCUAUUUAAAAAGGAGUUUAUGUCUUCUUUCUUUGAUUUAGUAAACGGUACCAAAAACUCGUUUGGAUAUUAUCGAGGUAAAACCCCGGUUUAGUUUGGUCAAUGUAUAUAUUCAAUAAAAUGCACUUCUAACACGUAUUAUGUUUAGCUUCUACAGAAUACAGAAAACUAAGGAUUUUGGAAAACAUUUUUAAAAUUUUAAUAUUAUUUGAGGUAUUUUUAUUAUAUGCUCCAAGUUAUAAUUUCUGUUACGAGGCGAAAAGAAACGUGAGAGAGGAAGGGCGAACACAGUGCCGUGUGAUGCAAGUAGAGUUACGUAUUUGUACAUGCACAAUAUAAUUUGAAGGCAUUAUAUAU
RNAcentral lists this long non-coding RNA (1158 nucleotides) under Brassica napus (rape). Its description in RNAcentral is "long non-coding RNA (BNAP_LNC012497)". The record is from RNAcentral. Lineage: Eukaryota; Viridiplantae; Streptophyta; Magnoliopsida; Brassicales; Brassicaceae.